This 802-nucleotide ribosomal RNA is filed under the name uncultured Alteromonadaceae bacterium. Its description in RNAcentral is "bacterial SSU rRNA". It matches the Rfam family "Bacterial small subunit ribosomal RNA", at positions 384 to 1179 of the family's 1533-position model. Lineage: Bacteria; Pseudomonadati; Pseudomonadota; Gammaproteobacteria; Alteromonadales; Alteromonadaceae. The record is from RNAcentral.
UGAUGCAGCCAUGCCGCGUGGUGUGAAGAAGGCCUUCGGGUUGUAAAGCACUUUCAGUUGUGAGGAAAAGUUAGUAGUUAAUACCUGCUAGCCGUGACGUUAACAACAGAAGAAGCACCGGCUAACUCCGUGCCAGCAGCCGCGGUAAUACGGAGGGUGCGAGCGUUAAUCGGAAUUACUGGGCGUAAAGCGCACGCAGGCGGUUUGUUAAGCUAGAUGUGAAAGCCCCGGGCUCAACCUGGGAUGGUCAUUUAGAACUGGCAGACUAGAGUCUUGGAGAGGGGAGUGGAAUUCCAGGUGUAGCGGUGAAAUGCGUAGAUAUCUGGAGGAACAUCAGUGGCGAAGGCGACUCCCUGGCCAAAGACUGACGCUCAUGUGCGAAAGUGUGGGUAGCGAACAGGGUUAGAUACCCUGGUAGUCCACACCGUAAACGCUGUCUACUAGCUGUUUGUGACUUUAAGCCGUGAGUAGCGAAGCUAACGCGAUAAGUAGACCGCCUGGGGAGUACGGCCGCAAGGUUAAAACUCAAAUGAAUUGACGGGGGCCCGCACAAGCGGUGGAGCAUGUGGUUUAAUUCGAUGCAACGCGAAGAACCUUACCUACACUUGACAUGCAGAGAACUUUCCAGAGAUGGAUUGGUGCCUUCGGGAACUCUGACACAGGUGCUGCAUGGCUGUCGUCAGCUCGUGUCGUGGGAUGUUGGGUUAAGUCCCGCAACGAGCGCAACCCUUGUCCUUAGUUGCCAGCAUUCAGUUGGGCACUCUAAGGAGACUGCCGGUGACAAACCGGAGGAAGGUGGGGA